Molecule: ribosomal RNA, 280 nt
Filed under: uncultured bacterium
Lineage: Bacteria
Description: partial 16S ribosomal RNA
Rfam family: Bacterial small subunit ribosomal RNA
Source: RNAcentral
AAUCAACGCUGGCGGCGUGCCUAACACAUGCAAGUCGAACGCGAAAGGGGCUUCGGCCCUGAGUAGAGUGGCGAACGGGUGAGUAACACGUGGGUGACCUACCUUCGAGUGGGGGAUAACGUCCCGAAAGGGACGCUAAUACCGCAUUACAUCCCGCCUUUGAACAGGCGGAGAUCAAAGCCUGGGACCGCAAGGCCAGGCGCUUGAAGAGGGGCCCGCGUCUGAUUAGCUAGUUGGUGGGGUAACGGCUCACCAAGGCAACGAUCAGUAUCCGGCCUGA